UACGGAGGGUGCAAGCGUUAUCCGGAUUUACUGGGUUUAAAGGGUGCGUAGGCGGGUCUGUAAGUCAGUGGUGAAAUCUCCGAGCUUAACUCGGAAACUGCCAUUGAUACUAUAGGUCUUGAAUUAUCUGGAGGUAAGCGGAAUAUGUCAUGUAGCGGUGAAAUGCUUAGAUAUGACAUAGAACACCAAUUGCGAAGGCAGCUUACUACGGAUCGAUUGACACUGAGGCACGAAAGCGUGGGGAUCAAACAGG
This 253-nucleotide ribosomal RNA is filed under the name uncultured bacterium. RNAcentral describes it as "partial 16S ribosomal RNA". It matches the Rfam family "Bacterial small subunit ribosomal RNA", at positions 524 to 776 of the family's 1533-position model. The record is from RNAcentral.